RNAcentral lists this long non-coding RNA (552 nucleotides) under Anser brachyrhynchus (Pink-footed goose). RNAcentral describes it as "lncRNA (ENSABRG00000008173.1)". The record is from RNAcentral. Lineage: Eukaryota; Metazoa; Chordata; Aves; Anseriformes; Anatidae.
AAAAAACUGACUUGGCUCUAAAUGUGUUGUCUAGACGGAAAAAAAAAAAAGAUGGAAAAUAAUGAAAGAAAUAAUUAACUUUUCAAGCUAUGUUAUGUUGUUACAGUUUUGUUCCCAAAUAUAGCAGGACACAGGUGGGAAUUACCCAUGAAACACUAGUUUAAGAGGUAGGGAUAGGUCUCAGUUGUGUCCAUAAAGCUGAAGAGACAUCUAGUGCUAAAUCCCCAAAGGGGCUCUGCAGGAUUUGCAGACAUCAAAGCGGUGGCAGCAAUAUAAUGAAGACAUGGCCAAGGUAGAGGAUCCACUAAACUUCAGCAAAAUGAGUGGCCACAAGUUCUAGCAAAACAAGUGGCUUCUAUCCGCUCUGGAAGAAGACAUUAAAAAAGCUGAAUGAGAGUCCACACUGGUAAAAAUGUGCCAAUAAGCUUCUUUGUUUCUUGACUUUGAGUUUCAGAUGGAUGAAAGGUCCUCUUUUAGAUAUGCAAGAUUGUGCAUGACUGAAGAAGGGCUGGUGCCUCCAUCAUGCAGUUGCUGCUGAAGAUAACUAAGAGA